AGAACCUCUCUGCUGGCAACUGGAAGUUUGCAGGAUACAUCCGGGUGGCUGUCCGAAAAUAAAAGGGGCUCCCCAUCCUUGUGGAACUUCUGAGAAUGGAUAACAAUAGAGUUGUUUCUUCCGUGGCAACUGCCUUGAGGAAUAUGACACUAGAUGUUCGCAACAAGGAGCUCAUAGGCAAAUAUGCCAUGCGAGACCUGGUCAACCAUCUUCCCUGCAGCAACGGUCCCAGUGUCUUGUCUGAUGAGUCCAAGGCAGCCAUCUGCUGUGCUCUGCAUGAGGUCACCAGCAAAAACAUGGAGAACACCAAAGCCCUGGCUGACUCGGGAGACAUAGAGAAGCUGGUGAACAUAACCAAAGGCAGGGGCAACAGAUCAUCUCUAAAAGUAGUGAAGGCAGCAGCCCAGGUCUUGAAUACAUUUUGGCAAUAUCAGGACCGCUGGAGCAUUUAUAAAAAUGAUGGGUGGAAUCAGAACCAUUUUAUUACACCUGUGUCGACAAUGGAGUGAGACUGAUUCAAAUCACGUCCUUCCUUGUCUACCACCAACCAAAAGACGUCACCCAUCAUUCAGUCAGGCUCCAGCAAACCUUCGCCAGUUUACAUCAGUUCAUAUUC
Molecule: RNA transcript, 616 nt
Organism: Mandrillus leucophaeus (drill)
Lineage: Eukaryota; Metazoa; Chordata; Mammalia; Primates; Cercopithecidae
Gene name: plakophilin-4 pseudogene
Exons: 1
Source: RefSeq, a predicted model, not a curated record